AGCAGCCGCGGUAAUUCCAGCUCCAAUAGCGUAUAUUAAAGUUGUUGCAGUUAAAAAAGCUCGUAGUUGAAUUUCGGGAUCAGUAGGUCGGUCGUGCCACUGGUAUGAACUGGUCUCACUGGUUCCUCCCUCUUGACGAACUGCAAUGCUAUUAAUUUAGUGUAGUAGGAAAUCAGGACUGUUACUUUGAAAAAAUUAGAGUGUUUAAAGCAGGCUUUAGCUUGAAUACAUUAGCAUGGAAUAAUGAAAUAGGACGUUCGAUCCUAUUUUGUUGGCUUCUAGGAUUGACGUAAUGAUUAAUAGGGACAGUUGGGGGCAUUAGUAUUCAAUUGUCAGAGGUGAAAUUCUUGGAUUUAUUGAAGACUAACUACUGCGAAAGCAUUUGCCAAGGAUGUUUUCAUUAAUCAAGAACGAAAGUUAGGGGAUCGAAGACGAUCAGAUACCGUCGUAGUCUUAACCAUAAACUAUGCCGACUAGGGAUCGGAUGAUGUUAAUUUUUUAAUGUA
Molecule: ribosomal RNA, 506 nt
Filed under: uncultured Glomus
Lineage: Eukaryota; Fungi; Glomeromycota; Glomeromycetes; Glomerales; Glomeraceae
Description: SSU rRNA
Rfam family: Eukaryotic small subunit ribosomal RNA
Source: RNAcentral